Molecule: ribosomal RNA, 554 nt
Filed under: Tylothais virgata
Lineage: Eukaryota; Metazoa; Mollusca; Gastropoda; Neogastropoda; Muricidae
Description: partial 12S ribosomal RNA
Source: RNAcentral
AAACCAAGAAGGUUAAGUUAUACAUUUAUCGGUUAAAAGAUAGUUAGGCAACAAUCUAAGAGCUUAUUUAAUUGUUAUUUAGAGGUAAAAUUCGCAAAUAAUCUAGAAAUCUUGUCAUGGCUGGCAAGCUGAAGCUAUGAUAGCCUUGAGGGAAACUGGGAUUAGAUACCCCAUUAUUCGAGGGGGUAAAAAAAUGAAAGUUUACCAGAGUACUACGGAAAUAUAGACAUUUAAAACUCAAAGAGCUUGGCGGUGUUUUAGACUCUUUAGGGGAACCUGUCUCAUAAUCGACAAUCCACGAAAUACCUAACCUUUAUUUGCUUUCAAUUUGUAUACCGUCGUCGGCAGGUAACUUUUCAGAAUAUAGAAGUUAGCAAAUGAACCAAUAAAAUAAGUUCUCACGUCAGAUCAAGGUGCAGUCAAUAUAAAGGAGAGGAUGGGUUACAAUUAUUAAAAAUAUAAAUACGAAGUAGCAAUUUGAAAUUGAGCUAUGAAGGAGGACUUAAAAGUAAAAUAGAAUAUAUAAAUAUAUUGAAUUAAGCUCUGAAACGUGU